Molecule: long non-coding RNA, 1427 nt
Filed under: Homo sapiens (human)
Lineage: Eukaryota; Metazoa; Chordata; Mammalia; Primates; Hominidae
Description: metastasis associated lung adenocarcinoma transcript 1
Source: RNAcentral
CUUGGGGGGGAUUCUUCUCUAAUCUUUCAGAAACUUUGUCUGCGAACACUCUUUAAUGGACCAGAUCAGGAUUUGAGCGGAAGAACGAAUGUAACUUUAAGGCAGGAAAGACAAAUUUUAUUCUUCAUAAAGUGAUGAGCAUAUAAUAAUUCCAGGCACAUGGCAAUAGAGGCCCUCUAAAUAAGGAAUAAAUAACCUCUUAGACAGAGGCAUUUCAUCCUUCAUGAAGCCAUUCAGGAUUUUGAAUUGCAUAUGAGUGCUUGGCUCUUCCUUCUGUUCUACUUUUUUUUUUUUUACAGACUUCACAGAGAAUGCAGUUGUCUUGACUUCAGGUCUGUCUGUUCUGUUGGCAAGUAAAUGCAGUACUGUUCUGAUCCCGCUGCUAUUAGAAUGCAUUGUGAAACGACUGGAGUAUGAUUAAAAGUUGUGUUCCCCAAUGCUUGGAGUAGUGAUUGUUGAAGGAAAAAAUCCAGCUGAGUGAUAAAGGCUGAGUGUUGAGGAAAUUUCUGCAGUUUUAAGCAGUCGUAUUUGUGAUUGAAGCUGAGUACAUUUUGCUGGUGUAUUUUUAGGUAAAAUGCUUUUUGUUCAUUUCUGGUGGUGGGAGGGGACUGAAGCCUUUAGUCUUUUCCAGAUGCAACCUUAAAAUCAGUGACAAGAAACAUUCCAAACAAGCAACAGUCUUCAAGAAAUUAAACUGGCAAGUGGAAAUGUUUAAACAGUUCAGUGAUCUUUAGUGCAUUGUUUAUGUGUGGGUUUCUCUCUCCCCUCCCUUGGUCUUAAUUCUUACAUGCAGGAACACUCAGCAGACACACGUAUGCGAAGGGCCAGAGAAGCCAGACCCAGUAAGAAAAAAUAGCCUAUUUACUUUAAAUAAACCAAACAUUCCAUUUUAAAUGUGGGGAUUGGGAACCACUAGUUCUUUCAGAUGGUAUUCUUCAGACUAUAGAAGGAGCUUCCAGUUGAAUUCACCAGUGGACAAAAUGAGGAAAACAGGUGAACAAGCUUUUUCUGUAUUUACAUACAAAGUCAGAUCAGUUAUGGGACAAUAGUAUUGAAUAGAUUUCAGCUUUAUGCUGGAGUAACUGGCAUGUGAGCAAACUGUGUUGGCGUGGGGGUGGAGGGGUGAGGUGGGCGCUAAGCCUUUUUUUAAGAUUUUUCAGGUACCCCUCACUAAAGGCACCGAAGGCUUAAAGUAGGACAACCAUGGAGCCUUCCUGUGGCAGGAGAGACAACAAAGCGCUAUUAUCCUAAGGUCAAGAGAAGUGUCAGCCUCACCUGAUUUUUAUUAGUAAUGAGGACUUGCCUCAACUCCCUCUUUCUGGAGUGAAGCAUCCGAAGGAAUGCUUGAAGUACCCCUGGGCUUCUCUUAACAUUUAAGCAAGCUGUUUUUAUAGCAGCUCUUAAUAAUAAAGCCCAAAUCUCAAGCG